GACGAACGCUGGCGGCGUGCUUAACACAUGCAAGUCGAACGGAAAGGCCCUGCUUUUGUUGGGUUCUCGAGUGGCGAACGGGUGAGUAACACGUGAGUAACCUGCCCUUGACUUUGGGAUAACAUCAGGAAACUGGGGCUAAUACCGGAUAUGAGCUCCUGCUGCGUGGUGGUGGUUGGAAAGUUUCGGCGGUUGGGGAUGGACUCGCGGCUUAUCAGCUUGUUGGUGGGGUAGUGGCUUACCAAGGCUUUGACGGGUAGCCUGCCUGAGAGGGUGACCGGCCACAUUGGGACUGAGAGACGGCCCAGACGGCUACGGGAGGCAGCAGUGGGGAAUAUUGCACAAUGGGCGGAAGCCUGAUGCAGCAACGCCGCGUGCGGGAUGACGGCCUUCGGGUGGUAAACAUCUUUCGCCUGUGACGAAGCGUGAGUGACGGUAAUGGGUAAAGAAGCAACGGCUAACUACGUG
Molecule: ribosomal RNA, 468 nt
Filed under: uncultured bacterium
Lineage: Bacteria
Description: partial 16S ribosomal RNA
Rfam family: Bacterial small subunit ribosomal RNA
Source: RNAcentral